AUGAGCCAGCUUCAAGACUCACCAAAGAGCGGCUUCCGGAGCCAGACUUGGCUCAGAACGCCCAGCAAUGUAAAUUCACCCAACACGACGGCCGGGCAGUGUCAGUCAUCCACAAUGUGCCGGGCCCACUGGGGAGCAGGCGGCAAGAGCCCCACUAACGCCUUUCCUGCCUCGCAUGCCCCGAAUGCUGGCUGCACCUGCCUCCCACACACCCCAGGGCCCACACGCAUCUGCCCCAAGUUUCCAGUGAGGUCGUGUGCACCGUUCUCACAAGGAUGUGUGACAGCCACGAGGCAGAGGCCGUACCUGGAACACGAGGCCCUUGCUGUACGAAGAGUCCAGGACCGGCUGCAGAGAGAAGUGACUCAGGCGCGUGUAGCAGGUCCCAUACUCGGCCACCUCCGAGAGCAGGCUGCUGAUGCUCUCGGGAGACGCUCCCGACACGUGGACACCCCGCUUCACCACAAAGGUCUGGGCCGGCUGCACAGGGGUAGAGGACACUGCUCAGAGGCCAGGCACCCAGACCCCCAAGAAGGUGCCAUCUCCCUCCACCCUUGCACCCAACCCCACACCACCUAGAGUGCCCCCAGGACCCAAAAGCAAAUGCCCAGAAGGCACACCCAGAACUCCUACACUGAGGGACAAAAACAUACAAACCAAAACAAGGCACAAAUUCUCACCACACUGAAAAAUACAUGUUUAAAAUGCCAAGUGUAGAAAAGGGUAGGAAACAACAGAACACCUUCCACAGGACACAAGUACAUAGACAGCCUCCUAGGGCAGAAGCUAUAAAACAUGUUUGCCGUGAGACCCGCUCAUUCAACUCUUCGGGAUGAAACAGCGGAAACGAUGGAAGAUGCACAAAGACUCGCCACAGCACAUUCCCCGCAAUGUGUUUGUAACCAGAGAGUGGAGACCCCCAGUAGAGGGCUCAUGACAACCGAAACGAACGGGGUGCAGCAGAAGCCAGGAGGGAGGUUACAGCUGCAAAUACGCACGUUAGAAAGGAAAAGAGAGAUCCCACAUCACAAGGAAACAAGAUACUAAAUCACAACAGCACUGUGUAUAUCCUAAAGAGAUAUUUUAAAAAGAGCUGUUAGGCCAAGCACAGUGGCUCACACAUAUAAUCCCAGCACUUUGGGAGGCUGAGGCAGGAGGAUCACUUGAGCCCAGGAGUCUGAGACCAGCCUGGGCAACAUAGCAAGACCCCCAUCUCUACAAAAAUUUUAAAUUAGGCCAGGCAUGGUGGCUCACGCCUGUAAUCCCAGCACUUCAGGAGGCCAAGGCGGGUGGAUCACUUCAGGUCAGGAGUUCGUGAUGAGCCUGGCCAACAUGGCAAAGCCCCGUCUCUACUAAAAACACAAAAAUUAGCCGGGCAUGGUGGUGUGUACCUGUAGUCCCAGCUACUCAGGAGGCUGAGGCAAGAGAAUCGUUGAAUGUGGGAGGCGGAGGUUGCAGUGAGCUGAGAUUGUGCCACUGCACUCCAGCCUGGGCGACAGAGUGAGACUCCGUCUCAAAAAAAAAAAAAAAACAAAAAAACACACAGACAUCUCUAGGCUGGGUGUGGUGGCUCUUGCCUCUAAUUCCCGCACUUUGGGAGGCCAAGGCCGGCGCAUCACGAGGUCAGGAGAUCAAGACCAUCUUUGCAGGGGCCUUUGAAAACAGUAUGCUGAGAAUAGAUAGGCUCAAGGACAGCAUCUCCAACCUAACUUUAAUGAACUCCCUGAGGCCAAGAAGGCGGUAGAUAAAGAAUAUAGAAAACAAGGUACUGAGUAGAAGGUUAU
Molecule: long non-coding RNA, 1784 nt
Filed under: Papio anubis (olive baboon)
Lineage: Eukaryota; Metazoa; Chordata; Mammalia; Primates; Cercopithecidae
Description: lncRNA (ENSPANG00000049816.1)
Source: RNAcentral